Molecule: ribosomal RNA, 406 nt
Filed under: Staphylococcus aureus
Lineage: Bacteria; Bacillati; Bacillota; Bacilli; Caryophanales; Staphylococcaceae
Description: bacterial SSU rRNA
Rfam family: Bacterial small subunit ribosomal RNA
Source: RNAcentral
UUUAUGGAGAGUUUGAUCCUGGCUCAGGAUGAACGCUGGCGGCGUGCCUAAUACAUGCAAGUCGAGCGAACGGACGAGAAGCUUGCUUCUCUGAUGUUAGCGGCGGACGGGUGAGUAACACGUGGAUAACCUACCUAUAAGACUGGGAUAACUUCGGGAAACCGGAGCUAAUACCGGAUAAUAUUUUAAACCGCAUGGUUCAAAAGUGAAAGACGGUCUUGCUGUCACUUAUAGAUGGAUCCGCGCUGCAUUAGCUAGUUGGUAAGGUAACGGCUUACCAAGGCAACGAUGCAUAGCCGACCUGAGAGGGUGAUCGGCCACACUGGAACUGAGACACGGUCCAGACUCCUACGGGAGGCAGCAGUAGGGAAUCUUCCGCAAUGGGCGAAAGCCUGACGGAGCAACG